Molecule: ribosomal RNA, 612 nt
Filed under: Glomus sp. ZJ
Lineage: Eukaryota; Fungi; Glomeromycota; Glomeromycetes; Glomerales; Glomeraceae
Description: SSU rRNA
Rfam family: Eukaryotic small subunit ribosomal RNA
Source: RNAcentral
GGAUCAAUACGUCGGUCGUGCUUUUUUGGUACGCACUGGCGUCAUUGGUUUCUCCUUUCUGACGAACCAUGAUGUCAUUAAUUUGGUGUUAUGGGGAGUUAGGACUGUUACUUUGAAAAAAUUAGAGUGUUUAAAGCAGGCAUUAGCUUGAAUACAUUAGCAUGGAAUAAUGAAAUAGGACGUUCGAUCCUAUUUUGUUGGUUUCUAGGAUCAACGUAAUGAUUAAUAGGGAUAGUUGGGGGCAUUAGUAUUCAAUUGUCAGAGGUGAAAUUCUUGGAUUUAUUGAAGACUAACUACUGCGAAAGCAUUUGCCAAGGAUGUUUUCAUUAAUCAAGAACGAAAGUUAGGGGAUCGAAGACGAUCAGAUACCGUCGUAGUCUUAACCAUAAACUAUGCCGACUAGGGAUCGGAUGAUGUUAAUUUUUUAAUGACUCAUUCGGCGCCUUACGGGAAACCAAAGUGUUUGGGUUCCGGGGGGAGUAUGGUCGCAAGGCUGAAACUUAAAGGAAUUGACGGAAGGGCACCACCAGGGGUGGAGCCUGCGGCUUAAUUUGACUCAACACGGGGAAACUCACCAGGUCCAGACAUAGUAAGGAUUGACAGAUUGAGAGC